Cynoglossus semilaevis (tongue sole) is the source of this 2657-nucleotide long non-coding RNA. RefSeq lists it as uncharacterized. NCBI's taxonomy places the organism in Eukaryota, Metazoa, Chordata, Actinopteri, Pleuronectiformes, Cynoglossidae. The transcript is spliced from 3 exons. The record is from RefSeq and is a predicted model, not a curated record.
GACAAGUCUGAGGAACGGAACUGAUGGGAGACAAGUCUGAGGAACAAAUUCUACACCAGGACAAAGGAGAAUGACUUAAAUCUGACUUAAAAUGGUGGUUUUGGACAUGGACGUUGCAGUCGGUGGUAAGUACAAAAGGACUAGCUUGUGUUUCCACACUUCUUGACUCUAAUGAAUAUGCACAAAUAUUCAUAGACACCCACACAAACACACACAGCGUCUGUAAUGAAACCAACAUGUCGCAGGAUAUCCUUUAUUCUCCAUGUAAACACUCCAGCAGGGUCCAUGGGGUCUCUUUAUUUUCCUUAAGUAACCCUAUCCGUCUCGCUCCCCUCUCAUUCUUCCAUCCCUAUCUCCAUUAUUGGCCACUUUAUCCUUUGACCUUUGAACCAUGUUCUUGUUGGGUUCAAUUACAGGUGUGACUGCAGAAUUAUUUCUGUCACAUUUGACAGUUUUUUUCUCUAGCGUCGGUGUAUUUGACAUAUGUAAAAAUAACACUCGACUUCAGUGAGUGUGGUUGGAAUGUAAGGCUGUGGAAUUCAGUGUAUCUACUUUGCUUCACUUCUAUUGUGUUUGUAUUUGUUAAUGGAAACGAUCGCCACAAACCAUACCCUGGUUAGGAACACCUGGAGGAAGCAGCAGUAAUUAAAGAUGUUGUUAUACAGUAUUACAAGAUGGAUCAGCCAUAUAAGGCAACAGCUAACCAUUAAAUAUAGUAAAUAAGUAUAAAUAAUGAUGUCAUUGGCAUAAAACAAAUGACUACUGCUUGGCCACAACUGUAGUAAGCCAUUGUGUAACAGCCUAUCACUACUCAGACAUUUACCUCCAUUACCUCGUGGUGUUUACCUCCACAGUCGACCCAGAAUAACCUGUCACUCAACAGUCACUAUUCAUCCGUUUCCUCCAAUAGCGUGACUUCAGUGUACCGGGGGCAGGGGCAGGCGCUGGAUUAAAACAGGAUAGGAUGAGGAAAACAAGAUGUGACAGGGAAAGAGGGGCGCACAAAAGACAGGAAACACAUAGACAUGAGAGCCAGAGCAGCAGACGGAGAUGGAGGUUGAGAUAGAGCAAGGAGAACUGAGAGGCGGAGAAGUAAAAAAAAAAAAGAAUCAUGUAAGGUGGUAAGUAAGAGAGGGAGAAUGGAGUGUAGUCCUUUAAAAAAAAUAGAAAAGGAAAUAUCAGGGAGGAGAGAGGAAACUGGAAACGAUAGGAUGCACAGAUGGUGGAAUAAAGAACAUAAGAGAAUAAAGAUUGGACCAAAAUUAUCCCACUUGUGCUUUGAAGUCCACUUUUAGAUACAGUGUUGUUUGUUGUCUUUGUGAUAUAGGAAGACUCAGCUCGAGUGCUGCAUGACUGUGCGUGCAGCAGCAGAUGAAGUGAGGAAAAGUUUCUAAUGAUGGGGGUGACAGUAAAUGCGGGGGUUUGUGACAGACACAACUAUGAUGUCACACUUUGUGGUUAGCUUUGCUGUUUUUACAUGAUUGUGCACAGUAAAAAAAUUAAAGAGCUAAUCUCAGACACUUGUUCAAUUCCCAUUUAAUCCCUAUGCCUAACCCCUAUCCUAAUCUGACCUUUCUUUUAAACCUAACCUCAAACUAUACUGUAUCUUGAACCUAAAGAUCUUUUGUGAACACUUAAUAAAAAUAUAAAUAUGUCUAGUCCCAAUCUCAAAUCUAAUCUCACCCUAAUCCUGAUCCUAAAUCUAAAUUAAAUGCUGAACCCCCAUGAGAUUAGUAUUUUCCAGAAGAUGUUCCCACAGGCAUUGCUAUUUCAGGUACACACACAGAAGAAGGUGGCGUGUGGUGACGCAGUGACGUGGGCAAAGCGAAGUUCACGUCCACACCAGAAGAAAGUUGACAAUUUGAACCCAGCAACAACAGUGUUUGUAAGAUGCAGUGAUUGUUUUUGGAUAAAAAGGGAAACCAAGCCCACAGAUAAACAGCCACUGCUCACGAACACUGACGUUCAGGAAUUGACAACAGCGAUAACUUCAAUUUCCUUACUGUGAAAGACAUAAUCUUUAUAAAACAACAAUAAGUUUAUUGUGAAAAGGAACAUGUCUGCUUUACAUAAAUGAAUACUGAUUGAAAUGUUUAGAUUGAAUAGAUGUUUCUGUUUUCUGAUGUUUUGUUCGUGAAAUGUGAUGAUAUUAAAUGUUCUGAUCCAUCUCAUCACUUAAUCGUAAAUAGUAACUUCUCUAACAAACCACAAGUGAAAUCAUAAAUGAUCGUGAUAGUGAAGGAUGGAGGCGAUAAUCCAACACCAGUGACAGCCAUAAUACAGGUAAUUGUAAAAAAAAUAUGCUAAGGCGCUAAGAUGGUAUUUUAAGAUGAGGUUUACCUUGGUGAAAUGAAAACCUUUGACAGAAUAGUUGGUUUGUUUAUAUAAAUAUAAGUAUUAAUUAAACUGUGUAUUUAGAAUCAAAUGUAUGAACUAUGUAGUUCCAGUUAACUCUUAUAGGGUUUGUUUUGUCUUGGCUCUACAGAUGGUUUAAAUGUCUAGAAAAACAGAAAUAAUUCCCUGGGAUGGAACAUGACCCACCUGUGUGUUCACAGUGUCCCUGCUGGCAAGAAAGGGAAACACUGACACAUGCUGUGUGUUAGUGCAGCAGGCAGAGCCAGGCCUUUAUGAGAGGGUGGGGACAGAAGGCUGCUUUA